RNAcentral lists this small RNA (3686 nucleotides) under Pongo abelii (Sumatran orangutan). RNAcentral's name for it is "processed transcript". The record is from RNAcentral. Lineage: Eukaryota; Metazoa; Chordata; Mammalia; Primates; Hominidae.
UUUCCAUGCUUCGUGCCUGGCCCUGUGAGCCCACCUGCCUGCAGCCCUACUUCCCAGGCCCCUCAUCACCCCUCCACUGCUCCCGUCUGUCUCCAUGCUCCAGGGCUAGCCGUGGGCCUGGACCCCGAGGGCUAUGGGAACCCUGACUUCUGCUGGCUCUCCAUCUAUGACACGCUCAUCUGGAGUUUUGCUGGCCCGGUGGCCUUUGCCGUCUCGAUGAGUGUCUUCCUGUACAUCCUGGCGGCCCGGGCCUCCUGUGCUGCCCAGCGGCAGGGCUUUGAGAAGAAAGGUCCUGUGUGAGUAUAGGGUUGGGGUGCCUGGGCCGUGGGCAGGCACCAGCAUGGGAGGCCUCAUGGCCGGACUCAUGGCCUGUCCCUAUCCCCAGCUCGGGCCUGCAGCCCUCCUUCGCCGUCCUCCUGCUGCUGAGCGCCACGUGGCUGCUGGCACUGCUCUCUGUCAACAGCGACACCCUCCUCUUCCACUACCUCUUUGCUACCUGCAAUUGCAUCCAGGUACCUGGCCCAGCCUGUGGAGAAGGGAGGCACCUGGGCUGUGGGUGCCUGAAUAUGCACAGACCGUUGCUGCCUCUUGCCUGCCAGGGCCCCUUCAUCUUCCUCUCCUAUGUGGUGCUUAGCAAGGAGGUCCGGAAAGCACUCAAGCUUGCCUGCAGCCGCAAGCCCAGCCCUGACCCUGCUCUGACCACCAAGUCCACCCUGACCUCGUCCUACAACUGCCCCAGCCCCUACGCAGAUGGGCGGCUGUACCAGCCCUACGGAGACUCGGCCGGCUCUCUGCACAGCACCAGCCGCUCGGGCAAGAGUCAGCCCAGCUACAUCCCCUUCUUGCUGAGGGAGGAGUCCACACUGAACCCUGGCCAAGGGCCCCCUGGCCUGGGGGAUCCAGGCAGUCUGUUCCUGGAAGGUCAAGACCAGCAGCAUGGUGAGGACGGAAGGCUCCGGCCGCCCGGCGGGGCAGUUGGCUGGCUUUUACUGAAGGUGGGUGGAGGUGGCUGGGCUGGCUGUGAUCUCUCCCUGGCCUCCUAGAUCCUGACACGGACUCUGACAGUGACCUGUCCUUAGAAGACGACCAGAGUGGCUCCUAUGCCUCUACCCACUCAUCAGACAGUGAGGAAGAAGAAGAGGAAGAGGAAGAGGAGGCCGCCUUCCCUGGAGAGCAGGGCUGGGAUAGCCUGCUGGGGCCUGGAGCAGAGAGACUGCCCCUGCACAGUACUCCCAAGGAUGGGGGCCCAGGGCCUGGCAAGGCCCCCUGGCCAGGAGACUUUGGGACCACAGCAAAAGAGAGUAGUGGCAACGGGGCCCCUGAGGAGCAGCUGCGGGAGAAUGGAGAUGCCCUGUCUCGAGAGGGGUCCCUAGGCCCCCUUCCAGGCUCUUCUGCCCAGCCUCACAAAGGUGAGUGGGGCACCCCCAGCUGCCGAGCUCCCCUAGUCAGCAGCCUCAUACCUCACAUUCUCCUGUGGCCGCCCGCACCUCACAGCCCCGCCCCGGCCCACAGGCAUCCUUAAGAAGAAGUGUCUGCCCACCAUCAGCGAGAAGAGCAGCCUCCUGCGACUCCCCCUGGAGCAAUGCACAGGGUCUUCCCGGGGCUCCUCCGCCAGUGAGGGCAGCCGGGGCGGCCCCCUUCCCCGCCCACCGCCCCGGCAGAGCCUCCAGGAGCAGCUGAACGGGGUCAUGCCCAUCGCCAUGAGCAUCAAGGCAGGCACCGUGGAUGAGGACUCGUCAGGCUCCGAGUGAGUGUGGCCGGGUGGGCGGGAUGGGGUGCAGCCCCGUGGGAGGCCUCACCUGGGUCCAGAGCUGCCUCCGGGCCUCCCCGGGUGACUCUGGAUGGCAUUUGGAGGACAAAUGGGCAGAACUGGCCCAGCUCCCUUACUAUGCCGUGCCCACAAACCAUGGUGCCUUGCGGGGAGGGCCACCCCUCCUAGGCUCUAUGUGGCGCAGCCCAGCCUAGGGCAGAGUGUGGGAGGAUGGGGAGCUGGGGGUGCUUUCCUGUUUCCUUCGUCUGGUGAAAGCUUUCACUCUCUCCUCUGUUUCAACUAACCCUCUGUCUGCCUUUUCUGCCACUUUCCUUUCCUGCCUCUCCAGAUUUCUCUUCUUUAACUUCCUGCAUUAACCCUGGGCCGUGGUUCCUACGCCCGAGGCUCCCUUCCCUUCCCCAGCCGCACUCAUGCCCUGCUCCUGUCUUGUGCUUUAUCCUGCCCCGCUCCCCAUCGCCUGCCCGCAGCAGCGACGAAACGUCCAUCUGAGGAGCCUGGGCCUUGCCGGGAGGGGUACUCACCCCACCUAAGGCCAUCUAGUGCCAACUCCCCCCCCCCACCAUUCCCCUCACUGCACUUUGGACCCCUGGGGCCAACAUCUCCAAGACAAAGUUUUUCAGAAAAGAGGAAAAAAAGAAUUUAAAAAAGGAUCUCCACUCUUCAUGACUUCAGGGAUUCAUUUUUUUUAUACGCUGGAAAUUGACUCCCCUUUCCCUUCCCAAAGAGGAUAGGACCUCCCAGGAUGCUUCCCAGCCUCUCCUCAGUUUCCCAUCUGCUGUGCCUCUGGGAGGAGAGGGACUCCUGGGGGGCCUGCCCCUCAUUCGCCAUCACCAAAAGGAAAGGACAAAGCCACACGCAGCCAGGGCGUCAUACCCUUCGGGCUGCACCCGGGCAGGCCUCAGAACGGUGAGGGGCCAGGGCAAAGGGUGUGCCUCGCCCUGCCCGCGCUGCCUCUCCCAGGAACUGGAAAAGCCCUGUCUGGCGAGGGGGCAGAAGGACUCAGUGCCCCUGGACCCCCAAAUGCUGCAUGAACACAUUUUCAGGGGAGCCUGUGCCCCCAGGUGGGGGUCGGGCAGCCCCAGCCCCUCUCCUUUUCCUGGACUCUGGCCGUGCGCAGCAGCCCAGGUGUUUGCUCAGUUGCUGACCCAAAAGUGCUUCAUUUUUCCUGCCCGCCCCGCACCCCGGGCAGGCCAGUCAUGUGUUAAGUUGCGCUUCUUUGCUGUGGUGUGGGUGGGGGAGGAAGAGUAAACACAGUGCUGGCUCGGCUGCCCUAAGGGUGCUCAGUCAAGCACAGGUUUCAAGUCUGGGUUCUGGUGUCCACUCACCCACCCCACCCCCUAAAAUCAGACAAAUGCUACUUUGUCUAACCUGCUGUGGCCUCUGACACAUGUUCUAUUUUUAACCCCUUCUUGGAAUUGGCUCUCUUCUUCAAAGGACCAGGUCCUGUUCCUCUUUCUCCCCGACUCCACCCCAGCUCCCUGUGAAGAGAGAGUUAAUAUAUUUGUUUUAUUUAUUUGCUUUUUGUGUUGGGAUGGGUUCAUGUCCAGUCCCAGGGGUCUGAUAUGGCCAUCACAGGCUGGGUGUUCCCAGCAGCCCUGGCUUGGGGGCUUGACGCCCUUCCCCUUGCCCCAGGCCGUCAUCUCCCCACCUCUCCUCCCCUCUCCUCAGUUUUGCCGACUGCUUUUCAUCUGAGUCACCAUUUACUCCAAGCAUGUAUUCCAGACUUGUCACUGACUUUCCUUCUGGAGCAGGUGGCUAGAAAAAGAGGCUGUGGGCAGGAAAGAAAGGCUCCUGUUUCUCAUUUGUGAGGCCAGCCUCUGGCUUUUCUGCCGUGGAUUCUCCCCAUCUUCUCCCCUCAGCAAUUCCUGCAAAGGGUUAAAAAUUUAACUGGUUUUUACUACUGAUGACUUGAUUU